GAUGAACGCUGGCGGCGUGCCUAAUACAUGCAAGUCGAGCGAACGGACGAGAAGCUUGCUUCUCUGAUGUUAGCGGCGGACGGGUGAGUAACACGUGGAUAACCUACCUAUAAGACUGGGAUAACUUCGGGAAACCGGAGCUAAUACCGGAUAAUAUUUUGAACCGCAUGGUUCAAAAGUGAAAGACGGUCUUGCUGUCACUUAUAGAUGGACCCACGGCGUAUUAGCUAGUUGGUGAGGUAAUGGCUCACCAAGGCGAUGAUACGUAGCCGACCUGAGAGGGUGAUCGGCCACACUGGGACUGAGACACGGCCCAG
Molecule: ribosomal RNA, 317 nt
Filed under: uncultured bacterium
Lineage: Bacteria
Description: bacterial SSU rRNA
Rfam family: Bacterial small subunit ribosomal RNA
Source: RNAcentral